RNAcentral lists this unclassified non-coding RNA (656 nucleotides) under uncultured Prochlorococcus sp. RNAcentral describes it as "partial 16S-23S ribosomal RNA intergenic spacer; may also contain 16S ribosomal RNA and 23S ribosomal RNA". The stretch from base 303 to 375 matches the Rfam family "tRNA". The record is from RNAcentral. Lineage: Bacteria; Bacillati; Cyanobacteriota; Cyanophyceae; Synechococcales; Prochlorococcaceae.
UUGUGGAGGAGGACGCCGAAGGUGGGGCUAAUGACUGGGGUGAAGUCGUAACAAGGUAGCCGUACCGGAAGGUGCGGCUGGAUCACCUCCUAACAGGGAGACAACAAAAUGUAAAUAUUAAUUUUGUCACCUUAGGUCGAUCGGUAUUUCAGAUUCUUAUUAUUUAAGAAUUUCAGUUUCUAAGUUUUUUCUAGGUCACACCCAUCACUUUUUCCUGGGCCAUUAGCUCAGGUGGUUAGAGCGCACCCCUGAUAAGGGUGAGGUCCCUGGUUCAAGUCCAGGAUGGCCCAUAUCUCUAUGUUGGGGGUAUAGCUCAGUUGGUAGAGCGCCUGCUUUGCAAGCAGGAUGUCAGCGGUUCGAGUCCGCUUACCUCCACUGAAUACCACCUCUUACAUAUAGUUGAAGUGGGAAAUUGUUUUGAGUCGUGUCCUAAUUUGCUCUGAGCGAAUCUAGCUUCCUAUUUUAUCCAAGAAAUAAGAUGCUGGACUCAUUGAAUUUUUUUUUCAUUGUUUUCAGAGAACCUUGACAACUGCAUAGAUUAUUUUUAAAGACAAUAAGCAUCUUUAAUGAUGCAGAUUUAUUAUUUGUGCGAAUGCAUUAAAUAACAAUUCUAUUAAGCUGAUGCUUCAAUUAUGAAGUUAUUGGUCAAGCUACAA